AGCGAACGCUGGCGGCAGGCUUAACACAUGCAAGUCGAACGGGCGUAGCAAUACGCCAGUGGCAGACGGGUGAGUAACGCGUGGGAACGUACCUUUUGGUUCGGAACAACCCAGGGAAACUUGGGCUAAUACCGGGAUAAGCCCGUUACGGGGAAAGAUUUAUCGCCGAAAGAUCGGCCCGCGUCUGAUUAGCUAGUUGGUGUGGUAACGGCGCACCAAGGCGACGAUCAGUAGCUGGUC
RNAcentral lists this ribosomal RNA (240 nucleotides) under uncultured bacterium. RNAcentral's name for it is "partial 16S ribosomal RNA". It matches the Rfam family "Bacterial small subunit ribosomal RNA", at positions 29 to 292 of the family's 1533-position model. The record is from RNAcentral.